RNAcentral lists this transfer RNA (91 nucleotides) under Aureobasidium namibiae CBS 147.97. It matches the Rfam family "tRNA". From Rfam's summary of the family: Transfer RNA (tRNA) molecules are approximately 80 nucleotides in length. Their secondary structure includes four short double-helical elements and three loops (D, anti-codon, and T loops). Further hydrogen bonds mediate the characteristic L-shaped molecular structure. tRNAs have two regions of fundamental functional importance: the anti-codon, which is responsible for specific mRNA codon recognition, and the 3' end, to which the tRNAs corresponding amino acid is attached (by aminoacyl-tRNA synthetases). tRNAs cope with the degeneracy of the genetic code in two manners: having more than one tRNA (with a specific anti-codon) for a particular amino acid; and 'wobble' base-pairing, i.e. permitting non-standard base-pairing at the 3rd anti-codon position. The record is from Rfam by way of RNAcentral. Lineage: Eukaryota; Fungi; Ascomycota; Dothideomycetes; Dothideales; Saccotheciaceae.
GCCGGGGUAGCUCAAUCGGUAGAGCGUGUGGCUCUUAUCGCUACGAUAUAUCACAACCUCAAGGUCGCGGGUUCGAGCCCCGCCUUCGGCU